Molecule: long non-coding RNA, 479 nt
Organism: Lathyrus oleraceus (garden pea)
Lineage: Eukaryota; Viridiplantae; Streptophyta; Magnoliopsida; Fabales; Fabaceae
Exons: 2
Source: RefSeq, a predicted model, not a curated record
UUCAAUUAUUGUGUCUAAAUAUUAGACCAUUCUUGUCGUUGUAACUUUUACUGUGGAAUUGAGUACCUCUAUUAUGGGACUCAUGUGGUAGGGUGGAAGACGAACCCCUUUUUUCUUAGAAAUUCUAUGGCGAGGCGGAAUUGGACACUUUGGCGAUGUGGAAUCUAGACACUCUUUAAAGAGUUUUGUUCUGCAUUUAACGGCGGGCCGCGGUGGAAUUGAUCUUGUUAGUCGAUCAGUCGCAACACGGAUGACAGGAUUUAAAGAAAUUAAAAAAUUUGAAGAGUAAUGGAUACUUAUUGAGCAAAUUAAUUAUAGUUAUAUUAGAGGGUAAAAAAUCAAAAAUUGAAGAAAUGAACUAACCAUGAUAUAAAUGAGAGAAGCGAGUAUGAUUGUACGGUAGCGUCCAAGAAAAGAAUCAGCGACGAAAGCACCUAAGAGAGGAAGAAGUGAAGCUGUUCCAACCCAUACAUUUACAU